This 254-nucleotide ribosomal RNA is filed under the name Candidatus Brocadia sp. UTAMX1. Its description in RNAcentral is "partial 16S ribosomal RNA". It matches the Rfam family "Bacterial small subunit ribosomal RNA", at positions 524 to 776 of the family's 1533-position model. The record is from RNAcentral. RNAcentral also lists the same sequence under 1 other name. Lineage: Bacteria; Pseudomonadati; Planctomycetota; Candidatus Brocadiia; Candidatus Brocadiales; Candidatus Brocadiaceae.
UACAGAGGCGGCAAGCGUUGUUCGGAAUUAUUGGGCGUAAAGAGCACGUAGGCGGCUGUGUAAGUCGGUUGUGAAAGCCUUCCGCUCAACGGAAGAACGGCAUCCGAUACUGCAUGGCUUGAGUGUGGGAGGGGAGAGUGGAACUUCUGGUGGAGCGGUGAAAUGCGUAGAUAUCAGAAGGAACACCGGCGGCGAAGGCGACUCUCUGGUCCAUAACUGACGCUGAGUGUGCGAAAGCUAGGGGAGCAAACGGG